Molecule: ribosomal RNA, 431 nt
Filed under: uncultured bacterium
Lineage: Bacteria
Description: bacterial SSU rRNA
Rfam family: Bacterial small subunit ribosomal RNA
Source: RNAcentral
UACGGAAGGCAGCAGUGGGGAAUAUUGCACAAUGGGCGAAAGCCUGAUGCAGCUAUGCCGCGUGUAUGAAGAAGGCCUUAGGGUUGUAAAGUACUUUCAUCGGGGAGGAAAAAACAAAACUAAUAAUUUUAUUUCUUGACGUUACCCGAAAAAGAAGCACCGGCUAACUCCGUGCCAGCAGCCGCGGUAAUACGGAGGGUGCUAGCGUUAAUCAGAAUUACUGGGCGUAAAGAGCACGUAGGUGGUUUUUUUAAGUCAGAUGUGAAAUCCCUGGGCUUAACCUAGGAACUGCAUUUUGAAACUGAAAUACUAGAGUAUCGUAGAGGGAGGUAGAAUUCUAGGUGUAGCGGUGAAAUGCGUAGAUAUCUGGAGGAAUACCUGUGGCGAAAGCGGCCUCCUAAACGAAUACUGACACUGAGGUGCGAAAGCGU